RNAcentral lists this ribosomal RNA (838 nucleotides) under Enterococcus faecalis. RNAcentral's name for it is "bacterial SSU rRNA". It matches the Rfam family "Bacterial small subunit ribosomal RNA", at positions 540 to 1383 of the family's 1533-position model. Lineage: Bacteria; Bacillati; Bacillota; Bacilli; Lactobacillales; Enterococcaceae. The record is from RNAcentral.
GAAAUGUCGGAGUAUUGGGCGUAUAGAGAGCGCAGGCGGUUUCUUAAGUCUGAUGUGAAAGCCCCCGGCUCAACCGGAGAAGGGCAUUGGAAACUGGGUGACUUGAGUGCAGAAGAGGAGAGUGGAAUUCCAUGUGUAGCGGUGAAAUGCGUAGAUAUAUGGAGGAACACCAGUGGCGAAGGCGGCUCUCUGGUCUGUAACUGACGCUGAGGCUCGAAAGCGUGGGGAGCGAACAGGAUUAGAUACCCUGGUAGUCCACGCCGUAAACGAUGAGUGCUAAGUGUUGGAGGGUUUCCGCCCUUCAGUGCUGCAGCUAACGCAUUAAGCACUCCGCCUGGGGAGUACGACCGCAAGGUUGAAACUCAAAGGAAUUGACGGGGGCCCGCCCAAGCGGUGGAAGCAUGUGGUUUAUUUCGAAGCAUCGGCGAAGAACCUUACCAGGUCUUGACAUCUUUCGGACAACCUCUAGGAAAUAGAGCUGUUCCCUUUCGGGGACAAAUUGACAGGGGGUGCAUGGUUCGUCCGUCAGGCCUCGGGUCGGGAGAAGGUUGGGUUAAGUCCCGCAACGAGCGCAACCCUUAUUGUUAGUUGCCAUCAUUUAGUUGGGCACUCUAGCGAGAUGCCGGUGACAAACCGGAAGAAGUGGGGAUGACGUCAGAUCAUCAUGCCCCUUAUGACCUGGCUACACACGUGCUACAUUGGAAGUACAACGAGUCGCUAGAUCGCGAGGUCUGCAAUCUCUUAAGCUGCUCUCAGUUCGAAUGCAGCUGCAACUCGCUGCAUGAGCGGAUCGCUAGUAAUCGAGAUCAACAUGCGGUGAUCUCUCCCCCGGGUCUUA